This 668-nucleotide ribosomal RNA is filed under the name Bacillus sp. 24BL. RNAcentral's name for it is "bacterial SSU rRNA". It matches the Rfam family "Bacterial small subunit ribosomal RNA", at positions 68 to 719 of the family's 1533-position model. The record is from RNAcentral. Lineage: Bacteria; Bacillati; Bacillota; Bacilli; Caryophanales; Bacillaceae.
UGGAUUAAGAGCUUGCUCUUAUGAAGUUAGCGGCGGACGGGUGAGUAACACGUGGGUAACCUGCCCAUAAGACUGGGAUAACUCCGGGAAACCGGGGCUAAUACCGGAUAACAUUUUGAACUGCAUGGUUCGAAAUUGAAAGGCGGCUUCGGCUGUCACUUAUGGAUGGACCCGCGUCGCAUUAGCUAGUUGGUGAGGUAACGGCUCACCAAGGCAACGAUGCGUAGCCGACCUGAGAGGGUGAUCGGCCACACUGGGACUGAGACACGGCCCAGACUCCUACGGGAGGCAGCAGUAGGGAAUCUUCCGCAAUGGACGAAAGUCUGACGGAGCAACGCCGCGUGAGUGAUGAAGGCUUUCGGGUCGUAAAACUCUGUUGUUAGGGAAGAACAAGUGCUAGUUGAAUAAGCUGGCACCUUGACGGUACCUAACCAGAAAGCCACGGCUAACUACGUGCCAGCAGCCGCGGUAAUACGUAGGUGGCAAGCGUUAUCCGGAAUUAUUGGGCGUAAAGCGCGCGCAGGUGGUUUCUUAAGUCUGAUGUGAAAGCCCACGGCUCAACCGUGGAGGGUCAUUGGAAACUGGGAGACUUGAGUGCAGAAGAGGAAAGUGGAAUUCCAUGUGUAGCGGUGAAAUGCGUAGAGAUAUGGAGGAACACCAGUGGCGAA